UAAGGAAUAUUGGACAAUGGGCGAAAGCCUGAUCCAGCCAUGCCGCGUGUGUGAUGAAGGCCUUAGGGUUGUAAAGCACUUUCAAUCGUGAAGAUAAUGACGGUAGCGAUAGAAGAAGCUCCGGCUAAAUUCGUGCCAGCAGCCGCGGUAAUACGAAUGGAGCAAGCGUUGUUCGGAAUCACUGGGCUUAAAGCGUGCGCAGGCGGUCUUGCAAGUCAGAAGUGAAAGCCUGGGGCUCAACCCCAGAAUU
RNAcentral lists this ribosomal RNA (250 nucleotides) under uncultured bacterium. RNAcentral's name for it is "partial 16S ribosomal RNA". It matches the Rfam family "Bacterial small subunit ribosomal RNA", at positions 355 to 622 of the family's 1533-position model. The record is from RNAcentral.